RNAcentral lists this ribosomal RNA (454 nucleotides) under uncultured bacterium. RNAcentral's name for it is "bacterial SSU rRNA". It matches the Rfam family "Bacterial small subunit ribosomal RNA", at positions 28 to 478 of the family's 1533-position model. The record is from RNAcentral.
GAUGAACGCUGGCGGCGUGCCUAACACAUGCAAGUCGAACGGAGUCGUUUUGGAAAUCUCUUCGGAGAUGGAAUUCUCGACUUAGUGGCGGACGGGUGAGUAACGCGUGAGCAAUCUGCCUUUAAGAGGGGGAUAACAGUCGGAAACGGCUGCUAAUACCGCAUAAAGCAUCAAAUUCGCAUGUUUUUGAUGCCAAAGGAGCAAUCCGCUUUUAGAUGAGCUCGCGUCUGAUUAGCUGGUUGGCGGGGUAACGGCCCACCAAGGCGACGAUCAGUAGCCGGACUGAGAGGUUGAACGGCCACAUUGGGACUGAGACACGGCCCAGACUCCUACGGGAGGCAGCAGUGGGGAAUAUUGCGCAAUGGGGGAAACCCUGACGCAGCAACGCCGCGUGAUUGAAGAAGGCCUUCGGGUUGUAAAGAUCUUUAAUCAGGGACGAAACAAAUGACGGUAC